This 482-nucleotide long non-coding RNA is filed under the name Helianthus annuus (common sunflower). The record is from RNAcentral. Lineage: Eukaryota; Viridiplantae; Streptophyta; Magnoliopsida; Asterales; Asteraceae.
AUGUUGUACCAAUCUGAGCUUUCUUCUAUCGUAUGGCAAAGGUUACUCAUUUCAUGUGACAGACUUUACUAGAAAGAGUUCGAUAAGAGAGAUGUUGGAGUUGUGCAAGGGGAUAAGCGCUAACAAAGAAAAUAAAUAAUUUUAUGCCAUCGAUCAUUUAUUAUGUUGAAUUGACCCGGUGGAAAGCGAGAAAUGAGUUGGUAUUCAACAAGCUAUUAAAGUCCGCAGAUCCAAUCAGUAAGAUUUGAUUACCAAUCUGAAGUUGGAAUCUUGAUGGAAAGUAAAAGUGAGAGGAAGCCAUUGUUGGAGGUAAAGAAAGAGAAUUUUAAAGAAACUAAGAAGCAAAGCAAAUUGUAUGCUUUAGUAUUACUGCCAAUGUUAUUUGAUCAUGCAUGUAGUCAUCUGAGUCUUUGAGUUUGUUUUCCUUAUUGUAAGAUUUUGUUCCCGGUUCUUUAUAAUUGCGUUAAAAACAGUGGGCUUCC